GGAGUAUGGGCCGUGUCUCAGUCCCAUUGUGGCUGAUCAUCCUCUCAAACCAGCUACUGAUCGUCGCCUUGGUGGUCCAUUACACCGCCAACUAGCUAAUCAGAUGCAGACUCAUCCCAGAGCACCGGAGUUUUCACGAAUAGCAUCUCAGCUACGCGCAUAUGGGGUAUUAAUAGUCGUUUCCAACUGCUAUCCCCCACUCUAGGGCAGAUUCUCUACACAUUACUCACCCGUCCGCCACUUUCCUCUGUAGCAAGCUACAGAUUCUCGUUCGACUUGCAUGUAUGAAGCACGCCGCCAGCGUUGUC
This 308-nucleotide ribosomal RNA is filed under the name uncultured cyanobacterium. Its description in RNAcentral is "partial 16S ribosomal RNA". The record is from RNAcentral. Lineage: Bacteria; Bacillati; Cyanobacteriota.